This 493-nucleotide ribosomal RNA is filed under the name Pareas margaritophorus. Its description in RNAcentral is "partial 12S ribosomal RNA". The record is from RNAcentral. Lineage: Eukaryota; Metazoa; Chordata; Lepidosauria; Squamata; Pareidae.
GCCCAACUGUAAUACAACAAUUAAACCACAAAUUGUUCGCCAAAUAACUACGAGUUAAAACUUAAAAUUUAAAAGACUUGACGGUACUUCACAACAACCUAGAGGAGCCUGUCCAAUAACCGAUAACCCGCGAUUAACCCGACCCCCCCUAGCCCACAGUCUAUAUACCGCCGUCGCCAGCCUACCUUGUGAAAGAAAUAAAGUAAGCUAAACAAUACUACAUUAGUACGACAGGUCGAGGUGUAACUAAUGAGGGGGAGAAAGAUGGGCUACAUUUUCCCAUAAGAACAAACGAAUGUGAUCACGAAAAAAUCACUGAAGGAGGAUUUAGCAGUAAGGUAGGGAUAAACAUACUUAACUGAACCACGCAAUGAAGUGCGUACACACCGCCCGUCAUUCCUGCAAGACAUACAUACACAUAUAUAAUAAACUACCCACACUAAAGCAGGGCAAGUCGUAACAUGGUAAGUGUACUGGAAAGUGUACUUAGUAA